UUUUUCUUUACAAUGCAUCAUGUCACAUUGUUUGAAAAUCAAAAGCUGGAAAGUGUAUUCAUCUCUAUUUGUUGCCCCCUUCCCAGAUGCUUCUUAGUAUCAGAAACUCUGAUGAGCCUCUGUGAGAUCUAGGAGUCCUGGAGGCCUGCUCCCUCUGUGGCCGGGCAGGACCUACUUACUAUUCAGAAACUAGCAGAGCUCCAUGAGUUAAUGACUGUGCCACAGUAAAGCUAAGGCAGACUACAGUGGGAUGUGGGGAGGGGCAGAGAGAAAAAGUAGGGAAUUUUACUCACUUACACCUUGAGUUGUUCCUAAAAGGUUUAAGGUGGCUAGGAGGCUGUGUAUCCACAAAGGUCUCUAGAGUAUGACCUGACCUCGAAGGAAAAACAGGAUACAAAGAGGACAAGACAGAACAGGCACUCUAGGAGGAGGGAAUAGGUUGUGCAGAGAUUUAGUCCAUGUGUGAGGCCUCACAAAGCCCAAGGUGGCCGGAAAUGUGAGGGCAGUGGGAAAUGCCAAAGGAAAGGGGGACUCUACUCAGACUCCCUAAUAACCAGCCCACUGUGGGCAGUACUAUGGAUAAACUCACAUCUUCCUAGGCUGAUCUCCUUAGCCUUAGUCACUGUAUAGUCUCAA
RNAcentral lists this long non-coding RNA (636 nucleotides) under Bos taurus (domestic cattle). Its description in RNAcentral is "long non-coding RNA NONBTAT001923". The record is from RNAcentral. Lineage: Eukaryota; Metazoa; Chordata; Mammalia; Artiodactyla; Bovidae.